Molecule: ribosomal RNA, 484 nt
Filed under: uncultured bacterium
Lineage: Bacteria
Description: partial 16S ribosomal RNA
Rfam family: Bacterial small subunit ribosomal RNA
Source: RNAcentral
AUUGAACGCUAGCGGGAUGCUUUACACAUGCAAGUCGAACGGCAGCGCGGACUUCGGUCUGGCGGCGAGGGGCGAACGGGUGAGUAAUGUAUCGGAACGUGCCCAGUAGCGGGGGAUAACUACGCGAAAGCGUAGCUAAUACCGCAUACGCCCUACGGGGGAAAGCAGGGGAUCGUAAGACCUUCCACUCUUGCGCGGGCGGAUGUCGGAUUAGCUAGUUGGUGAGGUAACGGCUCACCAAGGCGACGAUCCGUAGCUGGUUUGAGAGGACGACCAGCCACACUGGAACUGAGACACGGCCCAGACUCCUACGGGAGGCAGCAGUGGGGAAUUUUGGACAAUGGGGGCAACCCUGAUCCAGCCAUCCCGCGUGUGCGAUGAAGGCCUUCGGGUUGUAAAGCACUUUUGGCAGGAAAGAAACGUCGCGGGCUAAUACCCCGUGGAACUGACGGUACCUGCAGAAUAAGCACCGGCUAACUACGUG